This 460-nucleotide ribosomal RNA is filed under the name uncultured bacterium. RNAcentral describes it as "partial 16S ribosomal RNA". It matches the Rfam family "Bacterial small subunit ribosomal RNA", at positions 338 to 795 of the family's 1533-position model. The record is from RNAcentral.
CCUACGGGAGGCAGCAGUGAGGAAUAUUGGUCAAUGGGCGAGAGCCUGAACCAGCCAAGUCGCGUGAAGGAUGAAGGAUCUAUGGUUUGUAAACUUCUUUUAUAUGGGAAUAAAGUGCGGUACGUGUUCCUUUUUGUAUGUACCUUAUGAAUAAGCAUCGGCUAACUCCGUGCCAGCAGCCGCGGUAAUACGGAGGGUGCGAGCGUUAUCCGGAUUUAUUGGGUUUAACGGGUUCGGAGGUGGUUAGUUAAGUCAGCGGGGAAAGUUUGUGGCUAAACCAUAAAAUUGCCGUUGAAACUGGUAGACUAGAGUAUAUUUGAGGUAGGCGGAAUGCGUAGUGUAGCGGUGAAAUGCAUAGAUAUCACGCAGAACUCCGAUUGCGAAGGCAGCUUACUAGACUAUAACUGACACUGAGGCACGAAAGCGUGGGGAUCAAACAGGAUUAGAUACCCCAGUAGUC